Molecule: long non-coding RNA, 1744 nt
Filed under: Homo sapiens (human)
Lineage: Eukaryota; Metazoa; Chordata; Mammalia; Primates; Hominidae
Description: non-protein coding LINC00205:21
Source: RNAcentral
AUUGCAGACCCGGAGGCCGUGGCUGUGGUUCGCGGCGGUGCUGUCGCGGGCGCCCUGGCGCAGCCCACGCAGGGGCUCCUGAGGGUCCGCGAGGCCGGGAGAAAAUUCCAGGCCCAGAGGGCCAAGCUGGUGAAUCCUACUUAGAGAAGAAAUAAUAGGAAUCCAGCCACUCAGACGAUGGACGAGGAGGGGCACUUCCCUGCUCGAUGUAUGGGCCAGCAUUGCCUUGAUAGCAAAGUCAGACAUCACCAGACAGUAGAACCACAGACCAAUGUCUUUCAUGAACCAAGACACAGCAUUUAAAAAAAUUAGCAAAUGGAAUUUAUAUCUGCCUAUUGUUUACAAAAAAAGCCAAACUUUGUAAAAUACUUGAAGAGAUUUAUUCUGAGCCAAAUAUGACCCAUGACACAGCCUCAGGACGUCCUGAGAACUUGGCCCAAGGCGGUUGUUUUACUGCUUGGUUUUAUUCAUUUCAGGGAGACAUAAGACAUCAGUCAGUACAUGUGAGGUGUGCAUUGGAUUGAUCCAGAAAGUCAGGACGACUCCAAGUGGAAAGGCCUCCAGAGACAGGAGACAGUAAAAGAAAUGGCCUCUCUCCUCUGUCAGAGUGGAGUCCCGAGCUCCCAGAAAUGCCACAUGAUGGACAAACGCUUGGGGGAAAAAAAAAAAAAAGGAGACCUCAGUCGGACACAAAAGCAGGAGCUUUAAAAGAAAAAAUAAGAGAUAAGUUGAACUUCACCAAAAAAUAAGCGUUUCUGGUCUUUGAAAGACACUUAAAAUGAAAAGGCAAGCCAUCGAUGGGGAAAAUACUCAGAAUAAUGGAUCUGACAGAGGGCUGUAUCUAGAAUAUAUGAAGAUAUUUUAAAAUCCAGUAAUUUGACAUAAAGAUGGUAGCCAGCCUGACACACAAAGGAACCCGAAUGGCCAAUGGACAGGAAGGGAACCCGUAUGGCCGAUGGACAGAAAGGGAAGUGAACGUGAACAUCUCAUUGGGGAUGCCGUUAUCACCACUGGAAUAGUCAAAAACAUGGACACCAAGUAUUGGUGGGUGAGUGGAAUGGCGGGAACCCACAUACACGGUCGAUGGGAGCUGCACCCUUUGGAAAUCAUUUCACAGUUUGUGCUCCAUCCUGGCCAAACCCACAGCUGGAGUCUUUCCAAAAACAGUGACGGGAGUUUCCACCAGGGAGUGCCUCAAACCAUCCCGAGAUGGGGCUGGUUGGGAUUCCAGGGAGAGGCACUCGUUGCCAGGGUGAUCCGUCCAGAGCACUUCCUAGGGGAUCUGGCAUAAGGAGGGCUGCAGUGUAUCCUCAGGACAGAUAGGACAGAUAGUGUAUCUUUGGGACAGACGGCAAGAUGGGGAUUCCACCCAGGUCUGUCUGCAGCGAGUUGAUAUGAGAGUUUAAGGAAUUUGGACCAGGGCUGCUUUGUUUCAGGGUUUUGGGCAAUGACCUAAACACCUUUAUCAGUGCCUGGGAAUGCUCAAGGCCCAGCUUGAGUUCAGGCCUGCAGGGAAAACCUGCAACUGGCCGGGCUGCAGAGUGGUCAGGGCACGGAAAGCCAGAAGCUGGGGACACACCUGCUGUAUGAUCCAGCCGUUCGUCUUUACCUGGGAGAAAUGGCACCACCUGGCUGAACAUAACUUCUUACACUCCCAUGAGUCCUCCUGGACAGGUGCUGUGACCUCGUGCAGCCUUGGGGACCCUGACACUCCCACGGACAGGCCAAGGGGUUUGCCUGGGCC